UGGGGAAUUUUGGACAAUGGGGGCAACCCUGAUCCAGCCAUGCCGCGUGAAGGAUGAAGUAUUUCGGUAUGUAAACUUCGUAAGAAUAGGAAGAAUAAAUGACGGUACUAUUUGUAAGGUCCGGCUAACUACGUGCCAGCAGCCGCGGUAAUACGUAGGGACCAAGCGUUGUUCGGAUUUACUGGGCGUAAAGGGCGCGUAGGCGGUGUGUCAAGUCAGUUGUGAAAUCUCCGAGCUUAACUCGGAACGGUCAACUGAUACUGUCACACUAGAGUACAGAAGGGGCAAUCGGAAUUCUUGGUGUAGCGGUGAAAUGCGUAGAUAUCAAGAGGAACACCUGAGGCGAAGGCGGGUUGCUGGGCUGAUACUGACGCUGAGGCGCGAAAGCUAGGGUAGCAAACGGGAUUAGAUACCCCCGUAGUCCCUGAGCGGGCUGGCAAGGCGCAU
RNAcentral lists this ribosomal RNA (447 nucleotides) under uncultured bacterium. RNAcentral describes it as "bacterial SSU rRNA". It matches the Rfam family "Bacterial small subunit ribosomal RNA", at positions 355 to 825 of the family's 1533-position model. The record is from RNAcentral.